RNAcentral lists this ribosomal RNA (880 nucleotides) under Lactifluus sp. RNAcentral describes it as "partial large subunit ribosomal RNA". It matches the Rfam family "Eukaryotic large subunit ribosomal RNA", at positions 88 to 946 of the family's 3401-position model. Lineage: Eukaryota; Fungi; Basidiomycota; Agaricomycetes; Russulales; Russulaceae. The record is from RNAcentral.
UGCGAGUGAAGCGGGAAGAGCUCAAAUUUGAAAUCCGGUGGUCUUUGGCCAUCCGAGUUGUAAUUUAGAGAAGCGUCUUCCGCGCCGGACCGUGCACAAGUCUCCUGGAAUGGAGCGUCAUAGAGGGUGAGAAUCCCGUCUUUGGCAUGGACCCCCGGUGCUCUGUGAUGCGCUCUCAAAGAGUCGAGUUGUUUGGGAAUGCAGCUCAAAAUGGGUGGUGAACUCCAUCUAAAGCUAAAUAUUGGCGAGAGACCGAUAGCGAACAAGUACCGUGAGGGAAAGAUGAAAAGCACUUUGGAAAGAGAGUGAAACAGUACGUGAAAUUGUUGAAAGGGAAACGCUUGAAGUCAGUCGCGUCGAUCGAGACUCAGCCUCGCCUCGGCUUGGCGUACUUCUCGACCGACGGGCCAGCAUCAAUUUGAUCCCUCAGAUAAUGGCAAGGGAAAGGUGGCACCUUUACGGGUGUGUUAUAGUCUCCUGUCGCAUGUGAGGGGUGGGAUUGAGGAACUCAGCACGCGCCUUUGGGUGUCGGGGCUUCGGCCCACGUUACGUGCUUAGGAUGUUGGCGUAAUGGCUUUAAACGACCCGUCUUGAAACACGGACCAAGGAGUCUAACAUGCCCGCGAGUGUUCGGGUGGAAAACCCGUGCGCGUAAUGAAAGUGAAAGUUGGGACCUCUGUCGUGGAGGGCACCGACGCCCGGACCAGACCUUCUGUGACGGAUCUGCGGUAGAGCGUGCAUGUUGGGACCCGAAAGAUGGUGAACUAUGCCUGAAUAGGGUGAAGCCAGAGGAAACUCUGGUGGAGGCUCGUAGCGAUUCUGACGUGCAAAUCGAUCGUCAAAUUUGGGUAUAGGGGCGAAAGACUAAUCGAACCAUCUA